Molecule: transfer RNA, 66 nt
Filed under: Coleoptera sp. ACP-2013
Lineage: Eukaryota; Metazoa; Arthropoda; Insecta; Coleoptera
Description: tRNA-Asn
Source: RNAcentral
UAAUUGAAACCAAAACAUUAGAGGUCUAUCACUGUUAAUGAUAAAAAUGAAUUUUUCCAAUUAAAG